UAUAGGAAGGAACACCAGUGGCGAAGGCGACUACCUGGACCGAUACUGACACUGAGGUGCGAAAGCGUGGGAGCAAACAGGAUUAGAUACCCUGGUAGUCCACGCCGUAAACGAUGUCUACUAGCCGUUGGGGGACUUGAUCCUUUAGUGGCGCAGCUAACGCGAUAAGUAGACCGCCUGGGGAGUACGGCCGCAAGGUUAAAACUCAAAUGAAUUGACGGGGGCCCGCACAAGCGGUGGAGCAUGUGGUUUAAUUCGAAGCAACGCGAAGAACCUUACCAACUCUUGACAUCCAGAGAACUUGCUAGAGAUAGCUUGGUGCCUUCGGGAACUCUGAGACAGGUGCUGCAUGGCUGUCGUCAGCUCGUGUUGUGAAAUGUUGGGUUAAGUCCCGUAACGAGCGCAACCCUUGUCCUUAUUUGCCAGCACUUCGGGUGGGAACUCUAAGGAGACUGCCGGUGACAAACCGGAGGAAGGUGGGGACGACGUCAAGUCAUCAUGGCCCUUACGAGUUGGGCUACACACGUGCUACAAUGGCCGGUACAGAGGGCCGCAAACCAGCGAUGGUAAGCUAAUCUCAGAAAACCGGUCGUAGUCCGGAUCGCAGUCUGCAACUCGACUGCGUGAAGUCGGAAUCGCUAGUAAUCGCGAAUCAGAAUGUCGCGGUGAAUACGUUCCCGGGCCUUGUACACACCGCCCA
RNAcentral lists this ribosomal RNA (700 nucleotides) under uncultured bacterium. Its description in RNAcentral is "bacterial SSU rRNA". It matches the Rfam family "Bacterial small subunit ribosomal RNA", at positions 695 to 1396 of the family's 1533-position model. The record is from RNAcentral.